RNAcentral lists this ribosomal RNA (497 nucleotides) under uncultured bacterium. RNAcentral's name for it is "partial 16S ribosomal RNA". It matches the Rfam family "Bacterial small subunit ribosomal RNA", at positions 28 to 507 of the family's 1533-position model. The record is from RNAcentral.
GAUGAACGCUGGCGGCGUGCCUAAUACAUGCAAGUCGAGCGAACAGACGAGGAGCUUGCUCCUCUGACGUUAGCGGCGGACGGGUGAGUAACACGUGGAUAACCUACCUAUAAGACUGGGAUAACUUCGGGAAACCGGAGCUAAUACCGGAUAAUAUAUUGAACCGCAUGGUUCAAUAGUGAAAGACGGUUUUGCUGUCACUUAUAGAUGGAUCCGCGCCGCAUUAGCUAGUUGGUAAGGUAACGGCUUACCAAGGCGACGAUGCGUAGCCGACCUGAGAGGGUGAUCGGCCACACUGGAACUGAGACACGGUCCAGACUCCUACGGGAGGCAGCAGUAGGGAAUCUUCCGCAAAGGGCGAAAGCCUGACGGAGCAACGCCGCGUGAGUGAUGAAGGUCUUCGGAUCGUAAAACUCUGUUAUUAGGGAAGAACAAAUGUGUAAGUAACUAUGCACGUCUUGACGGUACCUAAUCAGAAAGCCACGGCUAGCUACGUG